UCCCCCCGGUUUAAAGAGAUACUCUGGGUGAAGAAGGUCCCGGCCUCCGCGGUGAUUCGCCCUGGAGACCGCGACAUCAUACAGACAUUGAAAUCUGAAGUUGGGUAGUGCCUUUCCUUUCCUUAGGUGCCUAGCGGUGCCACGGGGACAGGGGGUGGGUAUUUGCUUUGUAAUUUCAGGGUCCCCGGCCGCCCCUCCCCUGGAUUGCAUGUACUUUAAAAUGGAGUCUAAAUAAGGUUCUAAAGUAAUCUAACAUCGUGAACAUUCUCCUGAUUGAUUUUCUAGAGUGCUUCAGAGACUUGGGAGCUCUGGAUGAAUGUGGACCGGGAAAAAAUCGCACUGAGACCUGGGCAUCUGCCCCAGGGUGGGGGUUGUGAUCGCAGGAUCUGGGGGCUGUGGAGUGAUUUGAAAUUGUCAACAAUUUAUCAUAGCUGUCAGUAUCUCAGUAGUUUUGUUUCCCCUUGAAUUACUGUGAAAUUCACAUAACAUUAAAUUGUCAUUAUAGGGCUGGGGAAUGUAGCUCAACAGAGUGCUUGCUUAAGCACUCAGGAUCAUCAGUACCAUGCAUGCCUGUGUGUAAUCCUGUCACUAGGAGUCCAAGGUCAUCCUUAGCUACAUAGCUAAGGGAUACAUUAGACCUUGCCUUAAAUAAAUAAAUAAAUAAAUAAAUAAAUAAAUAAAUAAAUAAAUAAAACCAGGCAGAGGAGCACACAACUUUAAUCCCAGCACCUUGGGAGGCAGAGGCAGGUGGAUCUCUGAGGGUGGUCUACAGAGCAAGUUACAGGAUAGAUAGCCAGGGCUACACCGAGAAACCCUGUCUCUAAAAACAAAACAACAACAACAAAAAAAGUGGUCAUUUUAAUUCAAGGUAUUUAGUGAAUUCAGUGUGUGCAGAGCUGCCUUGUAUGGUUGCAAAACAGUCCAUCACUCAAAAAAUAAAAGGCAGUUGUACACAUUGAGAAGUUUCUUUCCAACCCCUCUCCCCGGCCCUGUUAGCCACCAACCUACUUCUGUCUCCAUGGGCGGAAGUAUUCUCGGUGUAUUGAAUUUUUUUUUUAAAACACAAUUGAGAAAGCCAGUUCUACCUGGCAGACAGCAUAGAAUCAUGGAACCCAGGUCUAAAGUCUUCCUCUUCUGCCUGUCUGUUACCGUUCCUAACCCUUUGUGGGCCUCAGUUUCCUCAUCUGCGAAAGGACAGUGUGACAGCCCCCAGAGGAACUCAGAGAAAUGAGGAGUCAGGGGCGUGCCGGACACUGAACAAAUGGUCACUGUUUUCCUUCCUCUCCUUCUCUGCUUGAAGUUUGGGUUUCAUUUUGUUCUGUUUGGCAGUGAAAUGAUAGACUACAGAACUCUUCACAAGUCUGCUGCCCCUCUCCCACCCUCCCGUCAUCCGUCUCUAAUCCAGCACAGGUGGCUCUCAUCAGUAGCUGCAACAGUGCCAUCUGGAAGUUGUGCCCAGAGGUUCUGGACCUGGGGCACGCUCACCACACUCGAGCCCAACUAUGCUUUGAUAGCGGCUGCUCCAUUGAACAGGACUCACAUCUGACACAUAAAGGGCACUGUCUCAGUCUGUGCAGGCUGCUAGGAUGAUCCCCUAGAGACAGGCCACUUCUAAUAAUAGAAAUAAAUGUGUUUUCACUGUUCUGGCGGCUGGGCAGCCCAAGAGGAAGACCUUACCAGGCUUCCUGUCCGGCGAGGACUUGUGUUCUAGUUUAUAGGUAGCACUUUAUAUAGUGUCCCCUGUGAUAUCUACCUGGCAGCAUAGAAUCAGGGAACCUAGGUCUGAAAUCUCCUUCUUCUUUUAUGGGGACAUCAUCUCGUCCAUGAGACCUGUGUUCCUAUGACCUGAUCACCGCCCAAAGGCUCCACCUCUUAAUCCGUCAGCUUGGGGGUUCCAAUUUCAGCACAGCAACUUUGAGGGGACAAAGCCACUCAGACUACACAGCAGAUGCAGAACGUAAGCAAUAAAACAACAAGGCCCAAAGCCCGGGCAGUUAUCUGCUAUUGCGGUGCAGCUUCGCCAGGUCUGAUCUGGGCUGUACAUUUAGCAUUUAACAUCUUAUGGUUCUGGGCAAUGCUUUCCCUCCUGUUGGACUUUAUGAAAGGUUUAGUUACAUAUUUAUUUUUUAGUGGCGGGUACUUUAAAAAUUAAGUAUUUGUUUUCUUUAAAAAAUGUUUAGACUUUGUAGAAAAAAAAACAUAAAAUACAAAAAAAAAAAGAAGAAAAGGCACAUGUAUCUUAAAGAGUCUUGUUAAUUAAAUCAAACCUAAGGCCAGUUCAUGGUACGAAUUCUCGAAAAAGCUACUUGCCUGUGGCCUUUCGGGCCCCUACUCAGACCUGAGCUACCCUCAGCCAGUUGUGGUGAAGCAUGCUGGUUGGAUUUGCUGAAGGAGGCAGAGGCAGGGGGAUCCCGAGUUUGAGGCCAGCCUAGGAGGCUUGCUAAGGAGAAGCCUUGGCCGAGGCCCAGCCACAAACGGUGGCGGUGGGACCAUGGAGGCAGUGGCUGCUGCUCCGAGUGGCUGGCUCCUUCUCAUCAUGUUGGUGACUGCGGUGAUGCUGCUACCUGGGAUGAAGGGUUUACCACUGCUUGUUCAGAGAAGAAUUGCCAGGACCAUCAUGUUACCAUAAAGCAUCGGCAAAGGUCAGUUUGGAAAAGUUUGGCAAGACAAAUGGUGGGGAGAAAAUGCUGUGAAGAUUUUCUCUUCUAGGGAAGAACAUUUGUGGUUCCAAGAGACAGACAUUUAUCAGACUGUGAUUGCUCCAAACCACAGAGGAGGCACAAAAAAAAGAAAAGAAAGAAAGAAAAAAAGAAAAAGAAAAAAAAGUCUUCGGGGAACCAUGACCACACCUAACAGCUACUUGGAAAUCUUCAAAAAGAUGAUGGGACCCCACAACGAUGAUCCCACAAGGACUAUGGUAAAGCCAUUAAGCUAAUUAACAUCCAUGGAAAGAUCGACUUUGGACUACAAACUAUUCAGGACAAUUUCGAGAUGACCAGCUGAGAUGAUCCAGCCUGACAGACUACUUGAACAAGGACUUGAAACAAGCCCUGCACUUUUCCAUUAUGCAGAGACUGGACAAAUGAUACAGGACUUGACAAUUAACCCAAAAAUUUCUUUUCAGGAUUCCCUAAAGAUGUCUUCACCCCCAGAAAUCAGGAAGUAAUUUUAAGAAAACAAUGCCCACAUUCCCAAGAGGUGGGAUGGGAGGUUUUUGGUCGUUUAAUGAGUUACGGAUAUUGUCAUUGUUUACAAUGGUUGGUUACAAGUUGUUAAUUGUUAAUGGUCAGGAAAAAAGCUAAACAUGGAGAUUAGAUUCAGAGGUUUUGUUUAAAAAAGAAAGAAAGAAAAAGAAAAAAGAGAAUAUAGAUAUGAGGUAGAUCAUUGACUCUACUCUGAGAAAAAAGAUAAAGAAAUAAUAGGAUAAAUGGGUAGAUCACUGAAUCUACUCUAAAAAGAAAAAGGGGAAGAUACAAAAAUGACAAAAGGUAGAUUAUUGAAUCUAUUACGAAAAGAAAAAAGAGAGAAUAUGGAUAUGAUAAGAUAAAAGGGAGAUUAUGGAAUCUACUUUUCAAAAGGAACUACUUGUUUUAAAUAGGAUAAGUAAUGAAAUUUUUUGUCUGAUUUUAUCAGAUGUUACUGGACUGGACAUUGUUAAUAUAUAUAAUGGAGUUUUUUGUCUGAAUCUGUCAAAUGUUAACGGACUAGACAUUGUUAAUGUACUCUUGACUGUGUAUAUUGUAUAUACUUAUUAGAUAUAAUUUUUCUUGUAUUAGUUAUAAGCUUUUUUAAAUUUUAGACAAAAAAGGGGAAAUGUGGUGGUAUUGUGCUCCCCAAAAUAUUGUGCAUGCCAGUAAACUUAUCUGGGGUCAGAGAAGAGAAGGGUAAGAAAGUUUUUAGUCUCAGCUCUCAGCUGCUGCUCUGACCUCUUGGGCUUUUAACUCUUCAUUUGGCUCUGUGUUUCUUAUUUAAUAAGACCGUUCCAUCUACACUUGAGCCUACAGUGAGACAGAACAUGGUGGCCAAGGCAUGUGACAGGGGAAACCUGUGCCAGUCAUGGUGGCCUGGCGGCAAAGAGAGGGAGGGGUGGACAUUCCAGUGUCUCCCUCCGAAGCAUGGCCUCAGGGACCAAACUUCCUGUCGUGAGACCUCACUUCUACUCAGAACGCUUUGACACCAAAUGUGUGUGUGUGUGUGUGUGUGUGGGGGGGGUUCCACGCUAACAGCCAAUUAUCUGACCAUUUAGACACCAACACUUGUGACAUUCUACACUUGAAUUCGAUUCUCACGCUAGCUCCCUGGAGUAAGGGCGGACCCCACAAAUUUAGGGCUUGAUCCCCUGAGACCUACCCACGCCUUCAGAGACAAUUUCAAGUCUCUGAUAUUUUCACCUCUUGGGUACAAAUUAGGGGUUCCCCUGGCCUCUUAGGGUUUAAAAACUGAUAGUAACAGCUCGUGGGACACAGAGGAAACACUACAUUGCUUCUUGGCUUAAUACAAAGAGGAUGAUAACAAGGGACAGAGAGGAACAACCCGGUGAGGGUGGGCAGAGAGCUAGGCCUGCCAUGGUCCUGAGCCCAAGUGCCUCUGUCCCUGUGCCAUCCUCCUGACACAUGCAUGCAUUCACCAGCCUGGAAGCUCUCUGGAUUGAGCAGUUUAAGGAUUUUUUUUCUCCUAGUGUUAAGGAUUGACUGGCCUCUUUGUGUCCUACCCAGGCACUAGUGUAGGGCUUCUGGAGGCAGAUUAGGUUUUCAUGGAGGCUUCAUCCCAUAGGCCUCAUUGACUAACCCCAUCUCCGGCUCCUUCCUCUCUCUAGAUGGGCCAGGGCUGAAAAUCCUAACUCCUAACCAUGAUGCAAUCAGACUGCAGCAUCUCUCCGCUUCUGCUUCAAGUUACUCCCUCAGUUCCUGCCCUGAUUUCCCUCGACGAUGGACCCUUUCUUUCCCUGAGUUGCUUUUCUUCAGGGUGUUUGAUCACGUCAACAGAAAGGAAACUGAACCCCUCAUUUAUACAAAACCAAGAUCUCACCAGUGUGAAGGAUGCAGAUAAUCAAGAUACACAGGCAGCGUCAGGGAAGGUCUGGAACAGCAGCACGGCUCCCAGCUCUGCCUCCCCAUAUUAGACAUCUGUUCUCCAGCACAAAGGAAGAAGAUAGGAAGUAGCUAAUGAGCGUUGCCGGUUACCUCACACAGUGAGGAGUAUUUUGGUUGCAAAGCAUCUCUACAUGACACACUGAGAGUUGCAUCGCCAAUGCAAUCAUCUUUGGGCACAAAUCUAUAGACCCCAGGAGUGCUUAUCACCAGCAAUUCUAAGCCAGAGCCUUCAUGCUGAAGGAAUUCUGUCAAUAAGGGCCUCUCCCCCACCUCUGCCAAUAUCCAGCAACCGUAAGACUUGCAAGGGGUUGACUCUACUGUGCCUGUUUUGCCUGCAGUGCCUGUGGAGGCCAGAAGAGGGUGUCAGAUCCCCUGGGAGUGGAGCUACAGGGAGCUGUGAGCCGCCACCAGGUUGCUGGUGCUGAGAACUGAACCCAGGUCCUCUGGAAGCGCAGCCACUGCUUGUAACCGCUGAGCCAUCUCUGCAGCCCUAAGGAAGUCCUAACAAAUGGUACUGAAAUGAUUGGAUAAAUGUAUGAGGAAGAUGAAUCUUGUCCCCUAUCUCAUAAAUCCAAAUGUCAAUGUUGACGCUAUACCUAGAAAAAAAGUCCCAUGGCCUUGUGUGCACACAGAUGUGUGUAUAUGCGUGUGCACACAUAUACAAACAAAAAAUGAAGAUAAAACCUUUUCCAUUGAGUAUCCUUAUGAGAUAUUGUUUGAUAUUGCCCUGAACCCCCAAAGCCUUUGUCCCACAGGAGUUCUUUUGCCCUUCUCUUCACCCCCCUCCCCCGUCCUUCUUCUUCUCCCCUCCUCCCCUCCAACCAUGUGUGGCCUCCAAGCAUGACAUGUGCCUAUAUGUAACAAAGCCUUCCUUUCCGUCCGUCUGUCCGUCCGUGACUCUCCUCAUCAUUGGCGGGUUGCUCUCUGACCUAAGACUCUGAUAGGAAAGGGAUGCAAAAAUAUGAACGCAUCUCAAAAGUAUCAGAGUUAAAGGGCAAUAGAUCUUUAAAAACCAAUAUCUACAGACUGGGCAUGGAGCAUGUGCUUAGUUUAUGCAAGGCCCAGGGUUUGAUCCUCAGCACAAAUAACUCAACAACCCCAUUUACAUGACGUUUGACAUUAGACACAAUCAUGUGAAAGACCUGGAGAUAGCGAUCCUUGGAGAGAUUGACUGCAAGGGAUCCCCAAGGGUGAUAGAAUUGUGGUAUGUCUUGUCAAGGUAUAGGAUACAUGGUCAUAUAUACCCAUGCAAAUUCACUGCACUAUGUACCUAAAGUCUGUGUGUUUUGCUGCAUAUAAAAUGUAAUAUAUAUUUAUAUACAUAUAUUUAUAUAUAAUUUAUAUACAUAUUUUAUAUAAUGUAUAAUUUAUAGAUAGUUUUAAAUUGCUGCUUAAAAUGAACACAGAAAACAAAAUAAAAUACACAUUCCUUGGCCCCUCCCCAUUGUAAAUAUGUGGUAUCUUAAACUGACCAAUAAAAAUUCUAAGUGUUUAUUUAAUCUUU
Long non-coding RNA from Peromyscus californicus insignis, 6597 nucleotides. RefSeq lists it as uncharacterized. NCBI's taxonomy places the organism in Eukaryota, Metazoa, Chordata, Mammalia, Rodentia, Cricetidae. The transcript has 2 exons. The record is from RefSeq and is a predicted model, not a curated record.